RNAcentral lists this long non-coding RNA (1086 nucleotides) under Homo sapiens (human). RNAcentral's name for it is "novel transcript". The record is from RNAcentral. Lineage: Eukaryota; Metazoa; Chordata; Mammalia; Primates; Hominidae.
UUUUUCUUUCUUUCUUUUUUUUUUUUUUUGACAGGAUGGGCUGGGGUUGGGGGAGGAGGAAGCAAGAAUUAAGCAGAGAAGGCAAGCUCCUUUCUGUUCAUCUAACUCAAAAGUUUUGCUCUUGCCCGGGCUGGAGUGCAAUGGCGCGAUCUCGGCUCACCGCAACCUCCAUCUCCCAGACCCAAGUGACCACCUGGUAAUUACUUCAACAGCAGAGCGACUCAUACAGCCGGCAGUCCACUUUGUUCUUCUAUAGAUCCUGCCUGUGGUGUUGGAUCUAACAGCUUCUUCCCUGACCCAAGAUUAUGAAGGAUUUCUCCUGUGUUCUCUUCUAAAAAUUUUACAUUUAGGUACAUAAUCCAUUUUGAGCUAAUUCUUUUAAAUAGUGCAAAGUAUGGAUUGAAGUUCUUUUUUUUUUUUUUUUUUGCAGAUACAUAUUUAAUUUUUCCAGCACCAUUUGUUGAAAAGACUAAUGUUCUUGCCUGAAUAGCCUUUGCAUUGUUGUUGAAAAUCAUGUUCACACAUGUACACAUUCCACUGAUCUAUUUGCCUCUUUGUGAAAAUACUACUAUUUUGAUUAAUAUAUAUUUAUAGGGAGUCUUAAAAUCAUAUCUUAAAAAGAUAGUGGAAGUUAUUUAACCUUACUCUUGCUUUUAGAAAUUGUUUUGGAUAUUCUAGAUCUUUUGUGUUUCCAUAUAAAUUUUAUAAUCAGUUUGGCAAUUUAUUUAAAAUAUUCUUCUGGGAUUUUGAUGGACAUUACACUGAAUCGAUGGAUCGCUUUGGGGACAACUGACAUCUUAACAAUAUUGAGUCAUCUAACAUAUGAUCAUGGAAAUUGCUCCAUUUAUUUAGAUCUUCUUUCACAUCUUGAAGCAGUGUUUUGCGUUUUCAGUGUAUAGGUAUUUAAUAGAUUUAAAAAUAUGAUCCCUAAAUAUUCAAUGUUUUUGAUGCUAUUGGAAUUUUAAAAAAUUAAUUUCUGUUCUGAGGAAGGAAAAUAAUAAAAGAUUAAACAAGAAAAAUAAAAAUAAUCAAAAUAAAAGAUAAAUCAUUGACAAAUAUAAUAAAAAAUAAAAUAAUAACAAAAAA